UGGACGGGCUGUGUGUUUCUCUCAUCACUCUCUUGUGUGCUGUUUCCUCCAGUCAGGAUGGGAUCUCUGCAGCAGAGGUGGAGCUGAGAGUCAGACCAGGAGACAACAUCACUCUCUAUAGUGACUGUAGAACAACAAGUGAAAUGUACACAGUCUGGUUCAGGAAUUGUUCUCAUGAGCACCAGCCUCCUCUUGUUAUUACAUAUUAUAACCGUUUGUCAUCUCAUUUCCUCAAUCCUCUCCCUCGGUAUACAAUGUUCUGGAACCACUAUAACAUGUCCUAUGAUCUACUGAUUGAGAACAUCACUGAAUCUGACCUGGGACUCUACUACUGUGGGACUAUAGAGAGAAAUAUGGAGAAUGAGCAACGUAUUGAACAGACAAAUGUCUACCACUAUGGACAUGUCAUGAGAAGGCUUUCAUUUGAUGCCAGAACACCUGAUGUAGACUGUGGUCUGUGUUGGAUGUUGCUGUUCAGUCUGUGUCCUGUGUCUGCUCUCCUCUCCUCUCUCCUCUCCUCUGCCUGUGUCUACUCCUUCUGCAGAACAACAGCUCCAACUGAGACUCAGGUUCCUCUGAACAGGACGACCACCAGGG
Molecule: long non-coding RNA, 597 nt
Organism: Oncorhynchus tshawytscha (Chinook salmon)
Lineage: Eukaryota; Metazoa; Chordata; Actinopteri; Salmoniformes; Salmonidae
Source: Ensembl